GACGAACCGUGCAAACGUUGUUCGGAAUCACUGGGCUUAAAGGGCGCGUAGGCGGGCAAGCAAGUCGAAGGUGAAAUCCCACGGCUCAACCGUGGAAGUGCCCCCGAUACUGCUUGUCUUGAGGGAGAUAGGGGCGUGCGGAACUUCCGGUGGAGCGGUGAAAUGCGUAGAUAUCGGAAGGAACACCGGUGGCGAAAGCGGCGCGCUGGAUCUCUUCUGACGCUGAGGCGCGAAAGCCAGGGGAGCAAACGGG
Molecule: ribosomal RNA, 253 nt
Filed under: uncultured bacterium
Lineage: Bacteria
Also listed under: 1 other name
Description: partial 16S ribosomal RNA
Rfam family: Bacterial small subunit ribosomal RNA
Source: RNAcentral